GACGAACGCUGGCGGCGUGCUUAACACAUGCAAGUCGAACGGUAAGGCCCUUCGGGGUACACGAGUGGCGAACGGGUGAGUAACACGUGGGUGACCUGCCCUGCACUUCGGGAUAAGCCUGGGAAACUGGGUCUAAUACCGGAUAGGACCACUGCCGGCAGGGGUGGUGGUGGAAAGGUUUUGCGGUGUGGGAUGGGCCCGCGGCCUAUCAGCUUGUUGGUGGGGGGAUGGCCUACCAAGGCGACGGACGGGUAGCCGGCCUGAGAGGGUGACCGGCCACACUGGGACUGAGAUACGGCCCAGACUCCUACGGGAGGCAGCAGUGGGGAAUAUUGCACAAUGGGCGCAAGCCUGAUGCAGCGACGCCGCGUGAGGGAUGACGGCCUUCGGGUUGUAAACCUCUUUCAGCACCGACGAAGCGCAAGUGACGGUAGGUGCAGAAGAAGGACCGGCCAACUACGUGCCAGCCGCCGCCGUAA
This 479-nucleotide ribosomal RNA is filed under the name uncultured bacterium. RNAcentral describes it as "partial 16S ribosomal RNA". It matches the Rfam family "Bacterial small subunit ribosomal RNA", at positions 28 to 523 of the family's 1533-position model. The record is from RNAcentral.